GGCUAGAUGGCUCAGUCAGCAGAGCGUGUGGCUUUGAAUUGCAGGGUCGUGGGUUCAAAACCCACGCAGGACA
Molecule: non-coding RNA, 73 nt
Organism: Podarcis lilfordi (Lilford's wall lizard)
Lineage: Eukaryota; Metazoa; Chordata; Lepidosauria; Squamata; Lacertidae
Source: the annotation of a GenBank genome assembly